UGGUCAAGUUAUUAAGGGUGCAGGGCGGAUGCCUUGGCACUAGGAGCCGAUGAAGGACGUGAUAAGCUGCGAUAAGCUUCGGGGAGUUGCACGUAAACUUUGAUCCGAAGAUUUCCGAAUGAGGAAACUCACUUAGAGUAAUGUCUAAGUAUCAUUAAGUGAAUACAUAGCUUAAUGAGGGGAACUCAGGGAACUGAAACAUCUAAGUACCUGAAGGAAGAGAAAGAAAUUCGAUUCCGUAAGUAGCGGCGAGCGAACGCGGAUUAGCCCAAACCAAUAAAGUUUUCUUUAUUGGGGUUGCGGACAUAUCAUAACGAAGAGGUAUCGUAAUUGAAGAGGUUUGGAAAGACCCACCACAGAAGGUAAUAGUCCUGUAUGUUAAACGAGAAGACUUUAGAUAUGAUCCAGAGUACCACGGGACACGUGAAACCCUGUGGGAAGCAGGAGGGACCACCCUCCAAGGCUAAAUACUACCUAGUGACCGAUAGCGUAUAGUACCGUGAGGGAAAGGUGAAAAGAACCCCGGGAGGGGAGUGAAAUAGAACCUGAAACCCUGCACUUACAAGCUGUGGAAGCACAUUUCUUGUGUGACCGCGUACUUUUUGUAGAACGGGCCAACGAGUUACGUUAAGUAGCAAGGUUAAGCACUUAAGGUGCGGAGCCGUAGCGAAAGCGAGUUUUAACUGAGCGUUCAGUUACUUGACGUAGACCCGAAACCGGGCGACCUACCCAUGAGCAGGAUGAAGCGAAAGUAAAAUUUCGUGGAGGUCCGAACCCACGAGCGUUGAAAAGCUCGGGGAUGACUUGUGGGUAGCGGUGAAAUUCCAAUCGAGCCCGGAGAUAGCUGGUUCUCCCCGAAAUAGCUUUAGGGCUAGCCUCAAGGUGAGAGAUACGGAGGUAGAGCACUGAAUGUCCUAGGGGGUAUUGCACCUACCGAAGACUAUCAAACUCCGAAUGCCGUCAUCUUAUACUUGGGAGUCAGACUGUGGGUGAUAAGAUUCAUAGUCGAAAGGGCAACAGCCCAGAUCGUCAGCUAAGGUCCCUAAAUGUAAGUUAAGUGGUAAAGGAUGUGGGAUUGCACAGACAACCAGGAUGUUGGCUUAGAAGCAGCCACUCAUUCAAAGAGUGCGUAAUAGCUCACUGGUCGAGUGAUCCUGCGCCGAAGAUUUCCGGGGCUAAAACUUACUACCGAAGCUACGGCAUCAGUAAUGAUGGGUAGGGGAGCUUCCCAUACGGGUUGAAGCAUGACCGUAAGGACAUGUGGACAGUAUGGGAGUGAGAAUGUUGGCAUGAGUAGCGAGAUGUGGGUGAGAAUCCCACAGGCCGUAAACCCAAGGUUUCCAGGGGAAGGUUCGUCCGCCCUGGGUUAGUCGGGACCUAAGCUGAGGCCGAAAGGCGUAGGUGAUGGACAACAGGUUGAUAUUCCUGUACUACCGAUAACCGUUUGAGAGAAGGGAUGACACAGUAGGAUAAGCUAAGCACACUGUUGGUUAUGUGUGCCCAAGCAUUGAGGCAGUCAAAGUAGGCAAAUCCGCUUUGAUAAUGCUGGGAUGUGAUGGGGAGCGAAAUUUAGUAGCGAAGUAGCUGAUUUCACACUGUCAAGAAAAGUCUCUAUCGAGGUUAAAGGUACCCGUACCGCAAACCGACACAGGUGGGUGAGGAGAGUAUCCUAAGGCCAGCGAGAGAACUGUUGUUAAGGAACUCGGCAAAAUGACCCCGUAACUUAGGGAUAAGGGGUGCCACCAUCAGGUGGCCGCAGAGAAUAGGCCCAAGCGACUGUUUACCAAAAACAUAGGUUUCUGCUAAGUCGCAAGACGAUGUAUAGGAGCUGACGCCUGCCCGGUGCUGGAAGGUUAAGGGGAUCUGUUAGAGCAAUCGAAGCAGUGAACUUAAGCCCCAGUAAACGGCGGCCGUAACUAUAACGGUCCUAAGGUAGCGAAAUUCCUUGUCGGGUAAGUUCCGACCCGCACGAAAGGCGUAACGAUUUGGGCACUGUCUCAACAACAGACUCGGUGAAAUUGUAAUUCCGGUGAAGAUGCCGGAUACCUGCGACAGGACGGAAAGACCCCAUGGAGCUUUACUGUAGCUUGACAUUGGGUCUUGGUACUACAUGUACAGGAUAGGUGGGAGGCUUUGAAACCAGGACGCCAGUUUUGGCGGAGCCAUCCUUGGGAUACCACCCUUGUAGUACUGGGACUCUAACCAUAGGCCAUGAAUCUGGUCUUGGGACACUGUCAGGUGGGCAGUUUGACUGGGGCGGUCGCCUCCCAAAAGGUAACGGAGGCGCUCAAAGGUUCUCUCAGUACGGUCGGAAAUCGUACGUAGAGUGUAAAGGCAAAAGAGAGCUUGAUUGCAAGACAUACAGGUCGAGCAAGGAUGAAAAUCGGACUUAGUGAUCCGGUGGUUCUGCGUGGAAGGGCCAUCGCUCAACGGAUAAAAGCUACCCUGGGGAUAACAGGCUUAUCUCCCCCAAGAGUCCACAUCGACGGGGAGGUUUGGCACCUCGAUGUCGGCUCAUCACAUCCUGGGGCUGUAGUAGGUCCCAAGGGUUGGGCUGUUCGCCCAUUAAAGUGGUACGCGAGCUGGGUUCAGAACGUCGUGAGACAGUUCGGUCCCUAUCCGUCGCAGGCGUAGGAAAUUUGAGAAGACCUGUCCUUAGUACGAGAGGACCGGGAUGGACGUACCUCUGGUGUACCAGUUGUCCUGCCAAGGGCAUGGCUGGGUAGCUAUGUACGGAAUGGAUAAGCGCUGAAAGCAUCUAAGCGCGAAGCCAACUUCAAGAUAAGAUUUCCCACCGCAAGGGUAAGACCCCAGAAAGACUAUCUGGUUGAUAGGUCGAAGGUGUAAGUGCAGCAAUGUAUUUAGCUUAUCGAUACUAAUAGGUCGAGGACUUGACCAAU
This 2900-nucleotide ribosomal RNA is filed under the name Escherichia coli. RNAcentral's name for it is "23S ribosomal RNA". It matches the Rfam family "Bacterial large subunit ribosomal RNA". Lineage: Bacteria; Pseudomonadati; Pseudomonadota; Gammaproteobacteria; Enterobacterales; Enterobacteriaceae. RNAcentral also lists the same sequence under 1 other name. The record is from RNAcentral.